GAGGGUGUAGCUCAGUGGCAGAGCGCAUGCUUAGCACGCAAGAGGUCCGGGGUUCAAUCCCAGUACCGCCA
Molecule: transfer RNA, 71 nt
Filed under: Camelus bactrianus (Bactrian camel)
Lineage: Eukaryota; Metazoa; Chordata; Mammalia; Artiodactyla; Camelidae
Also listed under: 2 other names
Rfam family: tRNA
About the family: Transfer RNA (tRNA) molecules are approximately 80 nucleotides in length. Their secondary structure includes four short double-helical elements and three loops (D, anti-codon, and T loops).
Source: Rfam by way of RNAcentral